This 253-nucleotide unclassified non-coding RNA is filed under the name uncultured Blastocatellaceae bacterium. Its description in RNAcentral is "contains 16S-23S intergenic spacer region". It matches the Rfam family "Bacterial small subunit ribosomal RNA", at positions 524 to 776 of the family's 1533-position model. The record is from RNAcentral. Lineage: Bacteria; Pseudomonadati; Acidobacteriota; Blastocatellia; Blastocatellales; Blastocatellaceae.
UACGUAGGGACCAAGCGUUGUUCGGAUUUACUGGGCGUAAAGGGCGCGUAGGCGGCGUGGUAAGUCACUUGUGAAAUCUCCGAGCUUAACUCGGAACGGUCAAGUGAUACUGCUGUGCUAGAGUACAGAAGGGGCAAUCGGAAUUCUUGGUGUGGCGGUGAAAUGCGUAGAUAUCAAGAGGAACACCUGAGGUGAAGACGGGUUGCUGGGCUGAUACUGACGCUGAGGCGCGAAAGCUAGGGUAGCAAACGGG